This 63-nucleotide transfer RNA is filed under the name Streptococcus salivarius. Its description in RNAcentral is "tRNA-Glu". It matches the Rfam family "tRNA", at positions 5 to 66 of the family's 71-position model. From Rfam's summary of the family: Transfer RNA (tRNA) molecules are approximately 80 nucleotides in length. Their secondary structure includes four short double-helical elements and three loops (D, anti-codon, and T loops). Further hydrogen bonds mediate the characteristic L-shaped molecular structure. tRNAs have two regions of fundamental functional importance: the anti-codon, which is responsible for specific mRNA codon recognition, and the 3' end, to which the tRNAs corresponding amino acid is attached (by aminoacyl-tRNA synthetases). tRNAs cope with the degeneracy of the genetic code in two manners: having more than one tRNA (with a specific anti-codon) for a particular amino acid; and 'wobble' base-pairing, i.e. permitting non-standard base-pairing at the 3rd anti-codon position. RNAcentral also lists the same sequence under 34 other names. The record is from RNAcentral. Lineage: Bacteria; Bacillati; Bacillota; Bacilli; Lactobacillales; Streptococcaceae.
CGUUGGUCAAGUGGUUAAGACACCGCCCUUUCACGGCGGUAACACGGGUUCGAAUCCCGUACG